RNAcentral lists this ribosomal RNA (342 nucleotides) under uncultured bacterium. RNAcentral describes it as "bacterial SSU rRNA". It matches the Rfam family "Bacterial small subunit ribosomal RNA", at positions 28 to 372 of the family's 1533-position model. The record is from RNAcentral.
GAUGAACGCUAGCUGGAGGCUUAAUACAUGCAAGUCGAGCGGGAUUGGGUAGCAAUACUCAUGAGAGCGGCGCACGGGUGAGUAACGCGUACACGACCUACCUCUGACAGGGGGAUAGCCCUGGGAAACUGGGAUUAAUACCGCAUAUUAUUCUGAAUAAUAAAGGUUUGGAAUGAAAGCUGAGGCGGUCAGAGAUGGGUGUGCGUCUGAUUAGCUAGUUGGUAGGGUAACGGCCUACCAAGGCGAUGAUCAGUAGGGGGCUGAGAGCGUGGUCCCCCCANACGGGUACUGAGACACGACCCGGACUCCUACGGGAGGCAGCAGUAAGGAAUAUUGGUCAAU